AUUGAACGCUGGCGGCAUGCUUUACACAUGCAAGUCGAACGGCAGCGCGGGCUUCGGCCUGGCGGCGAGUGGCGAACGGGUGAGUAAUGCAUCGGAACGUGCCCAGUAGUGGGGGAUAGCCCGGCGAAAGCCGGAUUAAUACCGCAUACGACCUGAGGGUGAAAGCGGGGGACCGAAAGGCCUCGCGCUAUUGGAGCGGCCGAUGUCGGAUUAGCUAGUUGGUGGGGUAAAGGCUUACCAAGGCGACGAUCCGUAGCUGGUCUGAGAGGACGACCAGCCACACUGGGACUGAGACACGGCCCAGACUCCUACGGGAGGCAGCAGUGGGGAAUGUUGGACAAAGGGGGCAACCCUGAUCCAGCCAUGCCGCGUGCGGGAAGAAGGCCUUCGGGUUGUAAACCGCUUUUGUUCGGGAAGAAAUCCUCUGGGCUAAUACCCCGGGGGGAUGACGGUACCGGAAGAAUAAGCACCGGCUAGCUACGUG
Molecule: ribosomal RNA, 484 nt
Filed under: uncultured bacterium
Lineage: Bacteria
Description: partial 16S ribosomal RNA
Rfam family: Bacterial small subunit ribosomal RNA
Source: RNAcentral